CCCUUAGAGUUUGAUCCUGGCUCAGGACUAACGCUGGCGGAAUGCUUCAUACAUGCAAGUCGAACGAUGAGGCCCUUCGGGGUACAUCAGUGGCGGACGGGUGAGUAACGCGUAGAUAACGUGCCUUGUACUGGGGGAUAACGUCUGGAAACGGACGCUAAUACCGCAUACGAUAACAGGUGAAACUCCUGUUAUUAAAAACUCCGGUGGUACAAGAUCGGUCUGCGUCGGAUUAGCUAGUUGGUAGGGUAAUGGCCUACCAAGGCGACGAUCCGUAGCUGGUCUGAGAGGAUGAUCAGCCACAGUGGGACUGAGACACGGCCCACACUCCUACGGGAGGCAGCAGUAGGGAAUAUUGCGCAAUGGGCUAACGCCUGACGCAGCAAUUCCGCGUGGAGGACGAAGUCUCUUGGGACGUAAACUCCUUUCGGCAGUGACGAUAAUGACGGUAACUGCAGAAGAAGCACCGGCUAACUACGUGCCAGCAGCCGCGGUAAGACGUAGGGUGCAAGCAUUGUCCGGAAUCAUUGGGCGUAAAGAGUUCGUAGGCGGUUUGUCAAGUCUGGUGUUAAAUCUCGGGGCUCAACCCCGACAUGGCAUCGGAAACUGACAGGCUAGAGUGCAUAAGAGGCAAGGGGAAUUCCCGGUGUAGCGGUGAAAUGCGUAGAUAUCGGGAGGAACACCAGUGGCGAAAGCGCCUUGCUGGUAUGCUACUGACGCUGAGGAACGAAAGCCAGGGGAGCAAAAGGGAUUAGAUACCCCUGUAGUCCUGGCCGUAAACGAUGGAUACUAGGUGUUGGAGGAUUCGACCCUUUCAGUGCCGUAGCUAACGCGAUAAGUAUCCCGCCUGGGGAGUACGACCGCAAGGUUGAAACUCAAAGGAAUUGACGGGGGCCCGCACAAGCGGUGGAACAUGUGGUUUAAUUCGAUGCAACGCGCAGAACCUUACCUAGGUUUGACAUCCUUGGAACCCUGCAGAAAUGCGGGGGUGCCUUCGGGAACCAAGUGACAGGUGGUGCACGGCUGUCGUCAGCUCGUGUCGUGAGAUGUUGGGUUAAGUCCCGCAACGAGCGCAACCCUCGUUGUCUGUUGCUACAGGUAGAAAUAUGCUGAGCACUCAGGCGAGACUGCCGGUGAUAAACCGGAGGAAGGUGGGGAUGACGUCAAGUCAGCAUGCCCCUUAUAUCUAGGGCUACACACGUGUUACAAUGGGAUAGGACAACGGGCAGCCAGCCAGCGAUGGUGAGCUAAUCCCUUAAACCUACCCUCAGUUCGGAUUGGAGUCUGCAACUCGACUCCAUGAAGUCGGAAUCGCUAGUAACCGCGGAUCAG
RNAcentral lists this ribosomal RNA (1332 nucleotides) under uncultured bacterium. Its description in RNAcentral is "bacterial SSU rRNA". It matches the Rfam family "Bacterial small subunit ribosomal RNA", at positions 1 to 1352 of the family's 1533-position model. The record is from RNAcentral.